AUUUAUAUAGUUUAAAAAAAAAACAUUACAUUUUCAUUGUAAAAAUAAAAAAAUUUUUUUAUAAAUU
Molecule: transfer RNA, 67 nt
Filed under: Bombyx mori (domestic silkworm)
Lineage: Eukaryota; Metazoa; Arthropoda; Insecta; Lepidoptera; Bombycidae
Description: tRNA-Glu
Source: RNAcentral